GGGCGCUUAGCUCAGCUGGGAGAGCAUCUGCCUUACAAGCAGGGGGUCAUAGGUUCGAGCCCUAUAGCGCCCACCA
Molecule: transfer RNA, 76 nt
Filed under: Acetivibrio thermocellus
Lineage: Bacteria; Bacillati; Bacillota; Clostridia; Acetivibrionales; Acetivibrionaceae
Also listed under: 11 other names
Description: Hungateiclostridium thermocellum tRNA_Val_TAC
Rfam family: tRNA
About the family: Transfer RNA (tRNA) molecules are approximately 80 nucleotides in length. Their secondary structure includes four short double-helical elements and three loops (D, anti-codon, and T loops). Further hydrogen bonds mediate the characteristic L-shaped molecular structure. tRNAs have two regions of fundamental functional importance: the anti-codon, which is responsible for specific mRNA codon recognition, and the 3' end, to which the tRNAs corresponding amino acid is attached (by aminoacyl-tRNA synthetases). tRNAs cope with the degeneracy of the genetic code in two manners: having more than one tRNA (with a specific anti-codon) for a particular amino acid; and 'wobble' base-pairing, i.e. permitting non-standard base-pairing at the 3rd anti-codon position.
Source: RNAcentral